GACAGAGGGUGCAAACGUUGUUCGGAAUUACUGGGCGUAAAGCGUGUGUAGGCGGUCCGCUAAGUCGGGUGUGAAAUCCCAGGGCUCAACCCUGGAACUGCCUUUGAUACUGACGAUCUGGAGAUCGGGAGAGGUUGGUGGAAUUCCGAGUGUAGAGGUGAAAUUCGUAGAUAUUCGGAGGAACACCAGAAGCGAAGGCGGCCAACUGGCCCGAUACUGACGCUGAGGCGCGAAAGCGUGGGGAGCAAACAGG
RNAcentral lists this ribosomal RNA (253 nucleotides) under uncultured bacterium. Its description in RNAcentral is "partial 16S ribosomal RNA". It matches the Rfam family "Bacterial small subunit ribosomal RNA", at positions 524 to 776 of the family's 1533-position model. The record is from RNAcentral.